Molecule: ribosomal RNA, 881 nt
Filed under: Pyrenophora teres
Lineage: Eukaryota; Fungi; Ascomycota; Dothideomycetes; Pleosporales; Pleosporaceae
Description: partial large subunit ribosomal RNA
Rfam family: Eukaryotic large subunit ribosomal RNA
Source: RNAcentral
CAACAGGGAUUGCCCUAGUAACGGCGAGUGAAGCGGCAACAGCUCAAAUUUGAAAUCUGGCUCUUUUAGAGUCCGAGUUGUAAUUUGCAGAGGGCGCUUUGGCUUUGGCAGCGGUCCAAGUUCCUUGGAACAGGACGUCACAGAGGGUGAGAAUCCCGUACGUGGUCGCUAGCUAUUGCCGUGUAAAGCCCCUUCGACGAGUCGAGUUGUUUGGGAAUGCAGCUCUAAAUGGGAGGUAAAUUUCUUCUAAAGCUAAAUACUGGCCAGAGACCGAUAGCGCACAAGUAGAGUGAUCGAAAGAUGAAAAGCACUUUGGAAAGAGAGUCAAACAGCACGUGAAAUUGUUGAAAGGGAAGCGCUUGCAGCCAGACUUGCUUGCAGUUGCUCAUCCGGGCUCUUUUGCCCGGUGCAUUCUUCUGCAGGCAGGCCAGCAUCAGUUUGGGCGGUGGGAUAAAGGUCUCUGUCACGUACCUCUCUUCGGGGAGGCCUUAUAGGGGAGACGACAUACCACCAGCCUGGACUGAGGUCCGCGCAUUUAUGCUAGGAUGCUGGCGUAAUGGCUGUAAGCGGCCCGUCUUGAAACACGGACCAAGGAGUCUAACAUCUAUGCGAGUGUUUGGGUGUCAAGCCCGAACGCGUAAUGAAAGUGAACGGAGGUGGGAACCCGCAAGGGUGCACCAUCGACCGAUCCUGAUGUCUUCGGAAGGAUUUGAGUAAGAGCAUGGCUGUUGGGACCCGAAAGAUGGUGAACUAUGCUUGAAUAGGGUGAAGCCAGAGGAAACUCUGGUGGAGGCUCGCAGCGGUUCUGACGUGCAAAUCGAUCGUCAAAUUUGGGCAUAGGGGCGAAAGACUAAUCGAACUAUCUAGUAGCUGGUUCCUGC